RNAcentral lists this transfer RNA (79 nucleotides) under Oribacterium sinus. Its description in RNAcentral is "tRNA-Leu". It matches the Rfam family "tRNA". Rfam says of the family: Transfer RNA (tRNA) molecules are approximately 80 nucleotides in length. Their secondary structure includes four short double-helical elements and three loops (D, anti-codon, and T loops). Further hydrogen bonds mediate the characteristic L-shaped molecular structure. tRNAs have two regions of fundamental functional importance: the anti-codon, which is responsible for specific mRNA codon recognition, and the 3' end, to which the tRNAs corresponding amino acid is attached (by aminoacyl-tRNA synthetases). tRNAs cope with the degeneracy of the genetic code in two manners: having more than one tRNA (with a specific anti-codon) for a particular amino acid; and 'wobble' base-pairing, i.e. permitting non-standard base-pairing at the 3rd anti-codon position. RNAcentral also lists the same sequence under 3 other names. The record is from RNAcentral. Lineage: Bacteria; Bacillati; Bacillota; Clostridia; Lachnospirales; Lachnospiraceae.
GCCGCCGUGGCGGAAUGGCAGACGCACUUGACUCAAAAUCAAGCGGGAAACCGUGCCGGUUCGAGUCCGGCUGGCGGCA